RNAcentral lists this ribosomal RNA (638 nucleotides) under Lachancea fermentati. RNAcentral's name for it is "partial large subunit ribosomal RNA". It matches the Rfam family "Eukaryotic large subunit ribosomal RNA", at positions 1520 to 2156 of the family's 3401-position model. Lineage: Eukaryota; Fungi; Ascomycota; Saccharomycetes; Saccharomycetales; Saccharomycetaceae. The record is from RNAcentral.
GCAGUUGGACGUGGGUUAGUCGAUCCUAAGAGAUGGGAAAGCUCCGUUUCAAAGGCCUGAUUUUCCAGGCCACCUUCGAAAGGGAAUCCGGUUAAUAUUCCGGAACCUGGCUAUGGAUUCUUCACGGUAACGUAACUGAAUGUGGAGACGUCGCCGUGAGCCCUGGGAAGUUAUCUUUUCUUCUUAACAGCUUAUCACCCCGGAAUUGGUUUAUCCGGAGAUGGGGUCUUAUGGCUGGAAGAGCCCAGCACAUUUGCUGUGUCCGGUGCGCUUACGACGGCCCUUGAAAAUCCACAGGAAGGAAUAGUUUUCAUGCCAGGUCGUACUGAUAACCGCAGCAGGUCUCCAACGUUAACAGCCUCUAGUUGAUAGAAUAAUGUAGAUAAGGGAAGUCGGCAAAAUAGAUCCUUAACUUCGGGAUAAGGAUUGGCUCUAAGGAUCGGGUAGUGAGGGCCUUGGUCAGACGCGGCGAGCGUGCUUGUGGACUGUUCGGCGGGGCUUGCACUGCUGAACGGACUGCUUGCGUGCCUUUUCGUAGACGGCCUUGGUAGAUCCUUUUGAUCGUCACUUGCUACAAUUAACGAUCAACUUAGGACUGGUACGGACAAGGGGAAUCUGACUGUCUAAUUAAAACAUAC